RNAcentral lists this ribosomal RNA (465 nucleotides) under uncultured bacterium. Its description in RNAcentral is "bacterial SSU rRNA". It matches the Rfam family "Bacterial small subunit ribosomal RNA", at positions 355 to 825 of the family's 1533-position model. The record is from RNAcentral.
UGGGGAAUUUUGGACAAUGGGCGCAAGCCUGAUCCAGCCAUACCGCGUGAGUGAAGAAGGCCUGAGGGUUGUAAACUGCUUUUGCCAGGGGAUAAAAAGACCGUGCGCGGUUAAUUGAAGGUACCUGGUGAAUAAGCCACGGCUAACUACGUGCCAGCAGCCGCGGUAAUACGUAGGUGGCAAGCGUUGUCCGGAUUUAUUGGGUUUAAAGGGUGCGUAGGUGGCCCUGUAAGUCAGUGGUGAAAUAUCUCAGCUUAACUGAGAGGGUGCCAUUGAUACUGCAGGGCUUGAGUACAGAUGAGGUAGGCGGAAUUGACGGUGUAGCGGUGAAAUGCAUAGAUAUCGUCAAGAACACCGAUAGCGAAGGCAGCUUACCAAGCUGUAACUGACACUGAGGCACGAAAGUGUGGGGAUCAAACAGGAUUAGAUACCCCAGUAGUCCCUGAGCGGGCUGGCAAGGCGCAU